UUGCUAGUAAUCACAGGUCAGCAUACUGUGGUGAAUACGUUCCCGGGCCUUGUACACACCGCCCGUCACACCAUGAGAGUUGAGAAUACCCGAAGCCCAUGUCAAAGUGGUCGAAGGUAGGCUUGAUGAUUGGGGUGAAGUCGUAACAAGGUAUC
Molecule: ribosomal RNA, 155 nt
Filed under: uncultured bacterium
Lineage: Bacteria
Description: partial 16S ribosomal RNA
Rfam family: Bacterial small subunit ribosomal RNA
Source: RNAcentral